UUUAAGAAUCGAUGAAUUAAACAAUUCAUGAUAUGGCUCAUUAAGUGUCAUGAGUGAAUUAGAAAGCUCGCAAAGCAAUCACAUCAAGGAUCAUAUAUAUAUAUUUGAAGGAAAGUACCAAGGAAACUUGCCUUAUACUGACGAUUUCAAAUUUCAAUCGCUCCUGCUCGUUAUACUAUUCUAUAUCCACUUGCUUUCCCCCUCUAAUACGCCUGGCUUCUCUGCUAAUCAUCACAACUAAUUAUCAAUAUGUGAUCUCAUACUAUUCUCAUCAUCUUACAUUCGAAACGGGCUUCUAUCUACCCUUCGUUUCACCCAAAUCCGAUUUACGGAUCAAAAGAUAUAUCAAAAACAAUUUUAUAUCAAUCACGUAAACACAUAACAUCUCAAUCAGAUAGCACAUAGCACGUAUCACAUAAAAUAUUUAAUAAAAUAUAUUUUUCAAAAGAAGUUUGAAGUCAAACGGACUUUUCUGGUAUUUAUUAUGAAUUUUUUAAACAUUUUUCGGAAUUAAAACGGGUCAAAGAAUCAUUUUAUAAAUAAAUAAUCCAUUUCUGGAUACUCGAAAUCAAGCCCGAAAUCAUUUGAAAUCAAUUAACGAGCUUCAAUCAUAUUUUAGAAUAAUAUUUUAAAGCUCGAAACUAUUUUUCGGAAUUUUAAAAUCAUUUAAAAUUAUUUAAAAUAAUUAAAUCUAAUUAAUAAAUCAAUUAAAAUCAAUUAAUAAUUAAUUAAAACAAUUAAUCAAUUAAUAAUUAAAUUAAUUGACUAAUUAUAAUAAUUAAUUACUAAUUAAAAUUAAUUAAUAAAUUAAAUCAGAUUUAUUUUUGAAUUUAUAAAUAAUUAAAAACAAUUUUUGAAAUUAAAAUAAAUGAUUUUCGAAAUUAAAUUUAAAUCAGAAAUCAUUUUUAAAACUUUUUAAAAGUCCAGGGUUUGAAUUGCAACUUUUGGAAACUUCAGGGUUUAAAAGUUACCAUCUCCAAAAGUCAGGGGGCCAGGUGGUAAUUUACCACCGGCGGCGCCCCCCGACCGCCGGAGACGGCGGCUCAGGCCUCCACGGGCCAUGGAAACGUGCAGAUCACAAGCAUUCAACCCCAUAAACUUGCUCAAGCCAUCAAAAUCCUUAAACAAGCAACGUUGAAGUCGCCGUUUGAGGAUUAAAAACCCGCCGCCGACGGAAUAUUCCCAGGCAUCGGCGGCGCCUUCCCCGCCUCCUCCACUUCAAUUAAUCACUGAAAUCAACUCUACACCGGCUUAUAAACAUGAUGGUAUAGUUUGUUUGUGCUCAGAAUCACCAGAUAACCAAACCCCAAAUUUCAAUUGAAUAUAUUCAAAGAACACGAAGAACCCUAGUUUUCUAAUUCGACAAUCAAACUCAAUUUUAAAGGUGUUAUGAACCUCCAAAUCACACAUAUAACAUACCAAAAUGACCAGGAGAAGAUUAUCUACAACAUACAAUCAUCAAAUCACACAAACAACUUCAAAAUCAAAAAGCCCUAAUUUAAGCCUAUUUAUUUCGAAUUUAAAACUCAAAAUCCAUACCCACCUGAUGUUGCUGCACUGAUUUUGAUGCUAGAUUAUGAUUCUACUUGUUAAAACCUUCAAUUUGAGCCCUUGAACGCCAAAAUCCGAGUCCGAUAACGCGUCCAAAUCCUCGUUUGAAUCUCAAGAACACGAAGAACUCUCUCGGGAAUUUCUCGGUUUUAACAUGUUUUAUGAUUUUCG
RNAcentral lists this long non-coding RNA (1722 nucleotides) under Daucus carota (carrot). RNAcentral describes it as "long non-coding RNA (DCAR_LNC001017)". Lineage: Eukaryota; Viridiplantae; Streptophyta; Magnoliopsida; Apiales; Apiaceae. The record is from RNAcentral.